GCAUAUCAAUAAGCGGAGGAAAAGAAACUACCAAGGAUUCCCCUAGUAACUGCGAGUGAAGCGGGAAAAGCUCAAAUUUAAAAUCUGGCAGUCUUUGGCUGUCCGAGUUGUAAUCUGGAGAAGCGUCUUCCGCGCUGGACCGUGUACAAGUCUCCUGGAACGGAGCGUCAUAGAGGGUGAGAAUCCCGUCUUUGACACGGACUACCAGUGCUCUGUGAUGCGCUCUCAAAGAGUCGAGUUGUUUGGGAAUGCAGCUCAAAAUGGGUGGUAAACUCCAUCUAAAGCUAAAUAUUGGCGAGAGACCGAUAGCGAACAAGUACCGUGAGGGAAAGAUGAAAAGCACUUUGGAAAGAGAGUUAAACAGUACGUGAAAUUGCUGAAAGGGAAACGCUUGAAGUCAGUCGCGUUUGCUAGGACUCAGCCUGGUUUCGGCCUGGUGCACUUCCUAGUAAACGGGCCAGCAUCACUUUUGGCUGCGGGAAAAAGGUUAGAGGAAUGUGGCACCCUCGGGUGUGUUAUAGCCUCUAGCUGUAUACCGUGGCUGGGAGUGAGGAACUCAGCACGCCUUCUGGCGGGGCUUCGGCCACCUUCGUGCUUAGGAUGCUGGCGUAAGGCUUUAAACGACCCGUCUUGAAACACGGACCAA
This 646-nucleotide ribosomal RNA is filed under the name Phanerodontia chrysosporium. RNAcentral describes it as "partial large subunit ribosomal RNA". It matches the Rfam family "Eukaryotic large subunit ribosomal RNA", at positions 38 to 669 of the family's 3401-position model. Lineage: Eukaryota; Fungi; Basidiomycota; Agaricomycetes; Polyporales; Phanerochaetaceae. The record is from RNAcentral.